This 225-nucleotide ribosomal RNA is filed under the name uncultured prokaryote. Its description in RNAcentral is "partial 16S ribosomal RNA". It matches the Rfam family "Bacterial small subunit ribosomal RNA", at positions 26 to 247 of the family's 1533-position model. The record is from RNAcentral.
AGAUUGAACGCUAGCGGCAUGCCUAACACAUGCAAGUCGAACGGUAACAGGCCCUUCGGGGUGCUGACGAGUGGCGGACGGUGAGUAAUGCGUAGGAAUCUACCCACGAGUGGGGGAUAGCCCGGAGUAAAUCCGGAUUAAAGUACCGCAUAUUGGCCCUACCGGGGUAAAGCGGGGUAAUCGUAAGACCUCGGCGCUGGUGGAUGAGCCUACGUCGAUUAGCUA